Molecule: ribosomal RNA, 433 nt
Filed under: uncultured bacterium
Lineage: Bacteria
Description: partial 16S ribosomal RNA
Rfam family: Bacterial small subunit ribosomal RNA
Source: RNAcentral
AGCGAACGCUGGCGGCAGGCUUAACACAUGCAAGUCGAGCGGACCUUUCGGGGUCAGCGGCGGACGGGUGAGUAACGCGUGGGAACGUGCCUUCCGGUUCGGAAUAACCCUGGGAAACUAGGGCUAAUACCGGAUACGCCCUUAUGGGGAAAGGUUUACUGCCGGAAGAUCGGCCCGCGUCUGAUUAGCUAGUUGGUGGGGUAACGGCCUUCCAAGGCGACGAUCAGUAGCUGGUCUGAGAGGAUGAUCAGCCACACUGGGACUGAGACACGGCCCAGACUCCUACGGGAGGCAGCAGUGGGGAAUAUUGGACAAUGGGCGCAAGCCUGAUCCAGCCAUGCCGCGUGAGUGAUGAAGGCCUUAGGGUUGUAAAGCUCUUUUAUCCGGGACGAUAAUGACGGUACCGGAGGAAUAAGCCCCGGCUAACUUCGUG